CACGGAGUUAGCCGGUGCUUAUUCAUCUGGUACCGUCAGGCCCCUUAGAAAAGGAGUGUUUCGUCCCAGAUAAAAGAAGUUUACAAUCCAGAGGACCUUCAUCCUCCACGCGGCAUGGCUGGUUCAGACUUGCGUCCAUUGACCAAUAUUCCUUACUGCUGCCUCCCGUAGGAGUCGGGCCCGUGUCUCAGUGCCCGUGUGGCUGAUCAUGCUCUCACAUCAGCUACUGAUCGCAGGCUUGGUGGGCCGUUACCCCGCCAACUACCUAAUCAGCCGUACGCCCAUCUUUAAGUGCCGGAGCUUUAAUAGUAAAGAGAUGCCUCUUCACCAUAUUAUGGGGUAUUAAUCCAAGUUUCCCUGGGCUAUUCCCCGCUUAAAGGAAGGUUGCGUACGUAUUGCGCACCCGUUUGCCGGUCGCCAGCGAGUAUUGCUACCCCUGCUGCCCCACGACUUGCAUGUAUUAAGCCUGCCGCUAGCGUUCAUCCUGAGCCAGGAUCAAACU
This 502-nucleotide ribosomal RNA is filed under the name uncultured Chitinophagaceae bacterium. Its description in RNAcentral is "partial 16S ribosomal RNA". The record is from RNAcentral. Lineage: Bacteria; Pseudomonadati; Bacteroidota; Chitinophagia; Chitinophagales; Chitinophagaceae.